UUGGGGGGUUGGUUGAGUGGCGAACGGGUGAGUAACACGUGAGUAACCUGCCCUCUUCUUCUGGAUAACCGCAUGAAAGUGUGGCUAAUACGGGAUAUUCUGGUCUGCCUGCAUGGGUGGGUUGGGAAAGAUUCACUUUGGUGUUUUGGUGGGGGAUGGGCUCGCGGCCUAUCAGCUUGUUGGUGGGGUGAUGGCCUACCAAGGCGGUGACGGGUAGCCGGCCUGAGAGGGUGGGCGGUCACACUGGGACUGAGAUACGGCCCAGACUCCUACGGGAGGCAGCAGUGGGGGAUAUUGCACAAUGGGCGGAAGCCUGAUGCAGCGACGUCGCGUGAGGGAUGGAGGCCUUCGGGUUGUGAACCUCUUUCGCCAGUGAAGUAGGUCUGCUUCC
RNAcentral lists this ribosomal RNA (391 nucleotides) under Actinomyces oricola. RNAcentral describes it as "bacterial SSU rRNA". It matches the Rfam family "Bacterial small subunit ribosomal RNA", at positions 79 to 460 of the family's 1533-position model. Lineage: Bacteria; Bacillati; Actinomycetota; Actinomycetes; Actinomycetales; Actinomycetaceae. The record is from RNAcentral.